Molecule: long non-coding RNA, 981 nt
Organism: Triticum aestivum (bread wheat)
Lineage: Eukaryota; Viridiplantae; Streptophyta; Magnoliopsida; Poales; Poaceae
Exons: 2
Source: RefSeq, a predicted model, not a curated record
AUUCACACAUCUUCUAAGUACUGUAGCUACUAAUAUUCAUAAUUAAGAUUAAGCUAUGCCGCUUAAACAGCAGCCAAGUGUAGUAAAUUGUAUGCUAGCAGAGAUCUAGCCCUAUGAAAAACAAAAGAUAUCGACUUCUAGCAGCAGCGACAUCACAUCGUCUAGAAAAAGCAGUAGCGACAAGCACUCAAUCCCACCGAGAAUCUUAUCUUCUCCACACAUCCACCCAGCGCUCUGCCGACCAGCACCAGCAGACCUCUCCUCCCGCGCCUCCGCCACAGGCCCAGCUAGCCACCAGCCAGGAGCUCAUGCACAAGCCAGCCGCACUGCACAACGCUGCCGCCCGUACACCGCCGCCAGCACCAACCACGCCGGAGCAAGGAGCUCCCCUCGACCCCGGGCGCCUGCCUCCCGUCCGGCGACCGGCCGCUGGAGCAUCACACCCGCGCCAUGGACCUCCGACCCCGACGCCCAAGCUCCCGAUGCUGUUCAUCGCCAGAUCCGCGCCGCCCCACCUUCUCCGACCAUGUCGGGAGCUGCCGUCAGGAGCACGCGCUGUUAGAAAUAAGCCAUGCCACUGCAUGCGUCAUGCGCGCGGCCAUAGCUCCGUGUUUAGUCGUGUGUGUACUAGCGGCUGUAGGGAUUAGUUAGACUGGCUGCGUUGAGUGGCGCAGCCGUGGCUGGCUAGCUACAUGCAUGGCGGGUCAUGUGGCCGUUGGAAGAGGCUGGAUCUGGGCGUGCAUGCAGGUAGUGGCUGGUGCGGUGAGCGUGCGUUGGUGCAUGCGUGAGUUAAUUAGUUAGUGCUGUUAGUGGCCGCGUGUGACGGAUGGUGCGUGUGUUGGUGUGUGUGUGCAGCCGGGUAUAAAAAGCCCCCUGAUAUAUUGAUCGAGGUGCGGCGGUAAGAGCCAUGUGUAGCCAUGUAGCCACUGUAAGGAAGAAAAGGAUUGGGGCGUUCGUGCGCCCGUGCCGGCGUUCGUGCGC